This 69-nucleotide transfer RNA is filed under the name Taricha granulosa (rough-skinned newt). RNAcentral's name for it is "tRNA-Met". Lineage: Eukaryota; Metazoa; Chordata; Amphibia; Caudata; Salamandridae. The record is from RNAcentral.
AGUAAGAUAAGCUAAAUAAGCUCUUGGGCCCAUACCCCAAACAUGUUGGUUAAACCCCCUCUCUCACUA